ACGUAAUGUGUGUUGCUAAUGUUGGGCCAUGUAAUAUGUAAUACAUUAACGUUUUAAUGAAUAGUCUAACGAGUUAUAGUCGUUGUACUCUAUUGUUAUAAUAUGUCUUUUUGACUGAAUACAUGUUUGUUUUAUUUCUCUAUAUCCUAGAUUCGCAGCUGGACACAUCCUUCUACACUGUAUGCAAACAUGCAACAUCAUAACACACAGUACAAGGAGUCAAACUGGCAUAUGAGGAGCAAAGGAACCCAGGCAGUAGCAUCGUUUCACAAUGUUUCCAUCACCAUCAUCAGUGGAUGCCUUUGCCGUCUGUAGCCUGAGAUUUCAGAUUUGCAGCCAAAAAAAUUUGAUUUUCUCAUUUAUUGGAAUGCUGUGCAGGUAUUUGUACCUUACAGCCAUCCAUUACAAUGUCACCAAGCCGUAACAAAAGCAGGAGAGGGAAAGUACAAGGCUAUGUUCCCAAAACACACAAGUGACAUACCUUAUGUGGAUGAUGUGAUCAGGCUUGUGUUUGAUGAGGUAUUUGAAGAUAAGCUGAAGGAAACCCUGAUUCCAAUGGACCUGGCAUCACAGUUUGAGAGACCUUCAAAGGAGGACGUGAUUGCAUGCC
Non-coding RNA from Paramisgurnus dabryanus, 610 nucleotides. The record is from RefSeq and is a predicted model, not a curated record. Lineage: Eukaryota; Metazoa; Chordata; Actinopteri; Cypriniformes; Cobitidae.